CAGGUGGUCAGGUAGAGAAUACCAAGGCGCUUGAGAGAACUCGGGUGAAGGAACUAGGCAAAAUGGUGCCGUAACUUCGGGAGAAGGCACGCUGACAUGUAGGUGAAGUGAUUUACUCAUGGAGCUGAAGUCAGUCGAAGAUACCAGCUGGCUGCAACUGUUUAUUAAAAACACAGCACUGUGCAAACACGAAAGUGGACGUAUACGGUGUGACGCCUGCCCGGUGCCGGAAGGUUAAUUGAUGGGGUCAGCGCAAGCGAAGCUCCUGAUCGAAGCCCCGGUAAACGGCGGCCGUAACUAUAACGGUCCUAAGGUAGCGAAAUUCCUUGUCGGGUAAGUUCCGACCUGCACGAAUGGCGUAAUGAUGGCCAGGCUGUCUCCACCCGAGACUCAGUGAAAUUGAACUCGCUGUGAAGAUGCAGUGUACCCGCGGCAAGACGGAAAGACCCCGUGAACCUUUACUAUAGCUUGACACUGAACAUUGAGCCUUGAUGUGUAGGAUAGGUGGGAGGCUUUGAAGUGUGGACGCCAGUCUGCAUGGAGCCGACCUUGAAAUACCACCCUUUAAUGUUUGAUGUUCUAACGUGGACCCGUGAUCCGGGUUGCGGACAGUGUCUGGUGGGUAGUUUGACUGGGGCGGUCUCCUCCUAAAGAGUAACGGAGGAGCACGAAGGUUGGCUAAUCCUGGUCGGACAUCAGGAGGUUAGUGCAAUGGCAUAAGCCAGCUUGACUGCGAGCGUGACGGCGCGAGCAGGUGCGAAAGCAGGUCAUAGUGAUCCGGUGGUUCUGAAUGGAAGGGCCAUCGCUCAACGGAUAAAAGGUACUCCGGGGAUAACAGGCUGAUACCGCCCAAGAGUUCAUAUCGACGGCGGUGUUUGGCACCUCGAUGUCGGCUCAUCACAUCCUGGGGCUGAAGUAGGUCCCAAGGGUAUGGCUGUUCGCCAUUUAAAGUGGUACGCGAGCUGGGUUUAGAACGUCGUGAGACAGUUCGGUCCCUAUCUGCCGUGGGCGCUGGAGAACUGAGGGGGGCUGCUCCUAGUACGAGAGGACCGGAGUGGACGCAUCACUGGUGUUCGGGUUGUCAUGCCAAUGGCACUGCCCGGUAGCUAAAUGCGGAAGAGAUAAGUGCUGAAAGCAUCUAAGCACGAAACUUGCCCCGAGAUGAGUUCUCCCUGAGACUUUAGGUCUCCUGAAGGAACGUUGAAGACGACGACGUUGAUAGGCCGGGUGUGUAAGCGCAGCGAUGCGUUGAGCUAACCGGUACUAAUGAACCGUGAGGCUUAACCUUACA
RNAcentral lists this ribosomal RNA (1291 nucleotides) under Salmonella enterica. RNAcentral's name for it is "partial 23S ribosomal RNA". It matches the Rfam family "Bacterial large subunit ribosomal RNA", at positions 1660 to 2925 of the family's 2925-position model. Lineage: Bacteria; Pseudomonadati; Pseudomonadota; Gammaproteobacteria; Enterobacterales; Enterobacteriaceae. RNAcentral also lists the same sequence under 2 other names. The record is from RNAcentral.